AUAACGGUCCUAAGGUAGCGAAAUUCCUUGUCAGGUAAGUUCUGACCCGCACGAAAGGCGUAACGAUUUGGGCGCUGUCUCAGCUGUAGACUCGGUGAAGUCUUAGUACCUGUGAAGAUGCAGGUUACCCGCGACUAGACGGAAAGACCCCAUGGAGCUUCACUGCAGGUUGAUAUUGGGAUUUGAUGCAGCAUGUACAGGAUAGGUAGGAGGCAAAGAGAUGGAUACGCCAGUAUUCAAGGAGCCGCUGUUGGGAUACUACCCCUGUUGUAUUGGAUUUCUAACCGGACGACGUAGAGCCGUUGACGGGACAGUGUCAGUCGGGCAGUUUGACUGGGGCGGUCGCCUCCCAAAGAGUAACGGAGGCGCCCAAAGAUACCCUCAGCUUGGAUGGAAACCAAGCGCAGAGUGCAAAGGCAAAAGGGUGUUUGACUGCGAGACCCACAAGUCGAGCAGGGACGAAAGUCGGGCUUAGUGAUCCGGCGGUGCUGAAUGGAAAGGCCGUCGCUCAACGGAUAAAAGCUACCCUGGGGAUAACAGGCUGAUCUCCCCCAAGAGUCCACAUCGACGGGGAGGUUUGGCACCUCGAUGUCGGCUCAUCGCAUCCUGGAGCUGAAGUCGGUCCCAAGGGUUGGGCUGUUCGCCCAUUAAAGCGGUACGCGAGCUGGGUUCAGAACGUCGUGAGACAGUUCGGUCCCUAUCUGUCGUGGGCGCAGGAAAUUUGAGAAGAGCUGUCCUCAGUACGAGAGGACCGGGAUGGACGCAUCAAUGGUGGACCAGUUGUCACGCCAGUGGCAUAGCUGGGUAGCUAAAUGCGGAAGGGAUAAACGCUGAAGGCAUCUAAGUGUGAAACCCACUUCAAGAUGAGAUUUCCCAUUGCGCAAGCAAGUAAGACCCCUUAAAGACGAUAAGGUAGAUAGGUCAGGAGUGUAAGCAUGGUGACAUGUUCAGCGGACUGAUACUAAUAGGUCGAGGACUUAACCUA
Molecule: ribosomal RNA, 985 nt
Filed under: human gut metagenome
Description: bacterial LSU rRNA
Rfam family: Bacterial large subunit ribosomal RNA
Source: RNAcentral